UAGCUAGUUGGUAGGGUAAGGGCCUACCAAGGCGACGAUCGGUAGCUGGUCUGAGAGGAUGGCCAGCCACACUGGAACUGAGACACGGUCCAGACUCCUACGGGAGGCAGCAGUGGGGAAUAUUGGACAAUGGGGGCAACCCUGAUCCAGCAAUGCCGCGUGUGUGAAGAAGGCCUGAGGGUUGUAAAGCACUUUCAGUGGGGAGGAGAGGACUUAGGUUAAGAGCUAGAGUUCUGGACGUUACCCACAGAAGAAGCACCGGCUAACUCCGUGCCAGCAGCCGCGGUAAUACGGAGGGUGCGAGCGUUAAUCGGAAUUACUGGGCGUAAAGGGUGCGUAGGUGGUUAGAUAAGUUAUCUGUGAAAUCCCUGGGCUCAACCUGGGCAGGUCAGAUGAUACUGUUUAACUCGAGUAUGGGAGAGGGUAGUGGAAUUUCCGGUGUAGCGGUGAAAUGCGUAGAGAUCGGAAGGAACACCAGUGGCGAAGGCGGCUACCUGGCCUAAUACUGACACUGAGGCACGAAAGCGUGGGGAGCAAACAGGAUUAGAUACCCUGGUAGUCCACGCUGUAAACGAUGUCAACUAGCUGUUGGUUAUAUAAAAAUAAUUAGUGGCGC
RNAcentral lists this ribosomal RNA (616 nucleotides) under uncultured Legionella sp. Its description in RNAcentral is "bacterial SSU rRNA". It matches the Rfam family "Bacterial small subunit ribosomal RNA", at positions 242 to 849 of the family's 1533-position model. The record is from RNAcentral. Lineage: Bacteria; Pseudomonadati; Pseudomonadota; Gammaproteobacteria; Legionellales; Legionellaceae.